RNAcentral lists this long non-coding RNA (431 nucleotides) under Homo sapiens (human). RNAcentral's name for it is "GARS1 divergent transcript". The record is from RNAcentral. Lineage: Eukaryota; Metazoa; Chordata; Mammalia; Primates; Hominidae.
ACAAAACCCGGAAGGACCCCGCCGAAGGUUUUCUCCGGUUCGGGAGAGAGACGGAGUCCCGCUCUGUCACGCAGGCUGCCAGGCUGGCGUACAGUGGCGCAAUCUCAGCUCGCUGCAACCUCCACCUCCUGGGUUCAAGCGAUUUUCUUGCCUCUGCCUCCUGAGUAGCUGGGAUUACUGGCACACACCACCAUGCACAGUUCCUUGUUCAAAAUGCCAAGAACCUGGAUGACUCAUAGUCAAGACCCUCCACCAGUAACAUAUAUUGGCGAGCCAGCCAGGAGCUUGGAACCCUCGGUGGACAGUGCCUAAGCACAGAGGCAACCACAGGUUUCUAACAGGGCCACUCUCUGGUGAAACUGAAAGGUUUCUGUGUGAAAGUGCCUGACCACCACUGCCCAAUUCAGACCACUACAGGAAACACUCCAUUU